GGUUAAGCGACUAAGCGUACACGGUGGAUGCCCUGGCAGUCAGAGGCGAUGAAGGACGUGCUAAUCUGCGAAAAGCGUCGGUAAGGUGAUAUGAACCGUUACAGCCGGCGAUGUCCGAAUGGGGAAACCCAGUGCAAUUCGUUGCACUAUCGUUAACUGAAUACAUAGGUUAACGAGGCGAACCGGGGAACUGAAACAUCUAAGUACCCCGAGGAAAAGAAAUCAACCGAGAUUCCCCCAGUAGCGGCGAGCGAACGGGGAGCAGCCCAGAGUCUGAAUCAGCUUGUGUGUUAGUGGAACGGUCUGGAAAGUCCGACGGUACAGGGUGAUAGUCCCGUACACCAAAAUGCACAGGCUGUGAACUCGAAGAGUAGGGCGGGACACGUGGUAUCCUGUCUGAAUAUGGGGGGACCAUCCUCCAAGGCUAAAUACUCCUGACUGACCGAUAGUGAACCAGUACCGUGAGGGAAAGGCGAAAAGAACCCCGGCGAGGGGAGUGAAAAAGAACCUGAAACCGUGUACGUACAAGCAGUGGGAGCACCUUCGGGUGUGACUGCGUACCUUUUGUAUAAUGGGUCAGCGACUUAUAUUCUGUAGCAAGGUUAACCGUAUAGGGGAGCCGCAGGGAAACCGAGUCUUAACUGGGCGUUAAGUUGCAGGGUAUAGACCCGAAACCCGGUGAUCUAGCCAUGGGCAGGUUGAAGGUUGGGUAACACUAACUGGAGGACCGAACCGACUAAUGUUGAAAAAUUAGCGGAUGACUUGUGGCUGGGGGUGAAAGGCCAAUCAAACCGGGAGAUAGCUGGUUCUCCCCGAAAGCUAUUUAGGUAGCGCCUCGUGAAUUCAUCUUCGGGGGUAGAGCACUGUUUCGGCUAGGGGGUCAUCCCGACUUACCAACCCGAUGCAAACUACGAAUACCGAAGAAUGUUAUCACGGGAGACACACGGCGGGUGCUAACGUCCGUCGUGAAGAGGGAAACAACCCAGACCGCCAGCUAAGGUCCCAAAGUCAUGGUUAAGUGGGAAACGAUGUGGGAAGGCACAGACAGCCAGGAUGUUGGCUUAGAAGCAGCCAUCAUUUAAAGAAAGCGUAAUAGCUCACUGGUCGAGUCGGCCUGCGCGGAAGAUGUAACGGGGCUAAACCAUGCACCGAAGCUGCGGCAGCGACACUAUGUGUUGUUGGGUAGGGGAGCGUUCUGUAAGCCUGCGAAGGUGACCUGUGAGGGUUGCUGGAGGUAUCAGAAGUGCGAAUGCUGACAUAAGUAACGAUAAAGCGGGUGAAAAGCCCGCUCGCCGGAAGACCAAGGGUUCCUGUCCAACGUUAAUCGGGGCAGGGUGAGUCGACCCCUAAGGCGAGGCCGAAAGGCGUAGUCGAUGGGAAACAGGUUAAUAUUCCUGUACUUGGUGUUACUGCGAAGGGGGACGGAGAAGGCUAUGUUAGCCGGGCGACGGUUGUCCCGGUUUAAGCAUGUAGGCUGGUUAUCCAGGCAAAUCCGGAUAAUCAAGGCUGAGGUGUGAUGACGAGGCACUACGGUGCUGAAGUAACAAAUGCCCUGCUUCCAGGAAAAGCCUCUAAGCAUCAGGUAACAUCAAAUCGUACCCCAAACCGACACAGGUGGUCAGGUAGAGAAUACCAAGGCGCUUGAGAGAACUCGGGUGAAGGAACUAGGCAAAAUGGUGCCGUAACUUCGGGAGAAGGCACGCUGGUGUGUAGGUGAAGUCCCUGCGGAUGGAGCUGAGACCAGUCGAAGAUACCAGCUGGCUGCAACUGUUUAUUAAAAACACAGCACUGUGCAAACACGAAAGUGGACGUAUACGGUGUGACGCCUGCCCGGUGCCGGAAGGUUAAUUGAUGGGGUUAUCCGUAAGGAGAAGCUCUUGAUCGAAGCCCCGGUAAACGGCGGCCGUAACUAUAACGGUCCUAAGGUAGCGAAAUUCCUUGUCGGGUAAGUUCCGACCUGCACGAAUGGCGUAAUGAUGGCCAGGCUGUCUCCACCCGAGACUCAGUGAAAUUGAACUCGCUGUGAAGAUGCAGUGUACCCGCGGCAAGACGGAAAGACCCCGUGAACCUUUACUAUAGCUUGACACUGAACAUUGAGCCUUGAUGUGUAGGAUAGGUGGGAGGCUUUGAAGCGUGGACGCCAGUCUGCGUGGAGCCAACCUUGAAAUACCACCCUUUAAUGUUUGAUGUUCUAACGUUGGCCCCUUACCGGGGUUGCGGACAGUGUCUGGUGGGUAGUUUGACUGGGGCGGUCUCCUCCCAAAGCGUAACGGAGGAGCACGAAGGUUAGCUAAUCCUGGUCGGACAUCAGGAGGUUAGUGCAAUGGCAUAAGCUAGCUUGACUGCGAGCGUGACGGCGCGAGCAGGUGCGAAAGCAGGUCAUAGUGAUCCGGUGGUUCUGAAUGGAAGGGCCAUCGCUCAACGGAUAAAAGGUACUCCGGGGAUAACAGGCUGAUACCGCCCAAGAGUUCAUAUCGACGGCGGUGUUUGGCACCUCGAUGUCGGCUCAUCACAUCCUGGGGCUGAAGUAGGUCCCAAGGGUAUGGCUGUUCGCCAUUUAAAGUGGUACGCGAGCUGGGUUUAGAACGUCGUGAGACAGUUCGGUCCCUAUCUGCCGUGGGCGCUGGAGAAUUGAGGGGGGCUGCUCCUAGUACGAGAGGACCGGAGUGGACGCAUCACUGGUGUUCGGGUUGUCAUGCCAAUGGCACUGCCCGGUAGCUAAAUGCGGAAGAGAUAAGUGCUGAAAGCAUCUAAGCACGAAACUUGCCCCGAGAUGAGUUCUCCCUGAGACUUUAAGUCUCCUGAAGGAACGUUAAAGACGAUGACGUUGAUAGGCCGGGUGUGUAAGCGCAGCGAUGCGUUGAGCUAACCGGUACUAAUGAACCGUGAGGCUUAACCUU
This 2900-nucleotide ribosomal RNA is filed under the name Klebsiella pneumoniae. Its description in RNAcentral is "23S ribosomal RNA". It matches the Rfam family "Bacterial large subunit ribosomal RNA". The record is from RNAcentral. Lineage: Bacteria; Pseudomonadati; Pseudomonadota; Gammaproteobacteria; Enterobacterales; Enterobacteriaceae.